This 263-nucleotide unclassified non-coding RNA is filed under the name Scytinium dactylinum. RNAcentral describes it as "Leptogium dactylinum internal transcribed space 1". The record is from RNAcentral. Lineage: Eukaryota; Fungi; Ascomycota; Lecanoromycetes; Peltigerales; Collemataceae.
CACACACCAGUUGCAGCCAACCCGCGGCGAACGAACACACUGUCCCCUCGGCGGGUCGUGGCGCCUCGCGGCGUCGCGGCCGGCCACCUCCCUUCGCCAAUCGCCACGCGCGCGCGGCGUCGGGUUUCCACGAUGAAUCCACCCUAAGUGACUGAGUCCCGAAUUUGACUUCGUGAAGAGGAGUGAGCUCCGCCCCCUUGGUCGCUUCGGCUGAGGGGUCGGCGCUGGUUACCUCGCGAGUUGAAACAGGUCAUAUAACACCA